This 444-nucleotide ribosomal RNA is filed under the name Cytobacillus horneckiae. RNAcentral's name for it is "bacterial SSU rRNA". It matches the Rfam family "Bacterial small subunit ribosomal RNA", at positions 955 to 1393 of the family's 1533-position model. The record is from RNAcentral. Lineage: Bacteria; Bacillati; Bacillota; Bacilli; Caryophanales; Bacillaceae.
UUUAACGCGAAAGGACCUUACCAGGUCUUGGGGUAUCUUCUGACAAUCCUAGAGAUAGGACGUUCCCCUUCGGGGGACAGAGUGACAGGUGGUGCAUGGUUGUCGUCAGCUCGUGUCGUGAGAUGUUGGGUUAAGUCCCGCAACGAGCGCAACCCUUGAUCUUAGUUGCCAGCAUUCAGUUGGGCACUCUAAGGUGACUGCCGGUGACAAACCGGAGGAAGGUGGGGAUGACGUCAAAUCAUCAUGCCCCUUAUGACCUGGGCUACACACGUGCUACAAUGGAUGGUACAAAGGGCUGCAAGACCGCGAGGUUUAGCCAAUCCCAUAAAACCAUUCUCAGUUCGGAUUGCAGGCUGCAACUCGCCUGCAUGAAGCCGGAAUCGCUAGUAAUCGCGGAUCAGCAUGCCCCGCGGUGAAUACGUUCCCGGGCCUUGUACACACCGA